UAGUCAUAUGCUUGUCUUAAAGAUUAAGCCAUGCAUGUCCAAGUAUAACCCCUUUGGGGAAAACUGCGGAUGGCUCAUUAAAUCGGUUGGAAUCUACAUGAACACCCCCAGUACGUGGAUAACCACGGAAAAUCUGCGGCUAAUACAUGCUCUUCUGUGCGGUCUUCUUGAUCGUACUGCAUACAUUAGUUCCAAAAUCAACUUUAUUUGGGUGAUUCAUGAUGUCUAGGCGAAUCGUAUGACCUUGUGUCGACGAUGAUUCAUUCGACUUUCCGCCCUAUCAACUUUGGAUGGUAGUGUAGUGGACUACCAUGGUUGUAACGGGUGACGGGGAAUUAGGGUUCGAUUCCGGAGAGGGAGCCUGAGAGAUGGCUACUACUUCCAAGGAAGGCAGCAGGCGCGCAAAUUACCCUAAUGGUCAAAGACCGAGGUAGUGACAAUAAAUAUCGAUGUUGGUGAUUCGUCAUUGACAAUCGGAAUGAACUGAAGUUAAGUCUCUCUAUGAGUACCAAUU
RNAcentral lists this ribosomal RNA (514 nucleotides) under uncultured eukaryote. RNAcentral's name for it is "bacterial SSU rRNA". It matches the Rfam family "Eukaryotic small subunit ribosomal RNA", at positions 21 to 549 of the family's 1831-position model. The record is from RNAcentral.